AAUGUGAAAAAAGGGUGCUGACGUAUAAAGUCGGCUGAGAGCGGCGUGAACGCCGAAACCUGUUACCUGAUUCGGAUAAUGCCGACGUAGGAAAAUACGCUUAUUUUAAG
Molecule: non-coding RNA, 110 nt
Filed under: Clostridiales bacterium
Lineage: Bacteria; Bacillati; Bacillota; Clostridia; Eubacteriales
Description: TPP sequence
Rfam family: TPP riboswitch aptamer (THI element)
About the family: Vitamin B(1) in its active form thiamin pyrophosphate (TPP) is an essential coenzyme that is synthesised by coupling of pyrimidine and thiazole moieties in bacteria. The previously detected thiamin-regulatory element, thi box was extended, resulting in a new, highly conserved RNA secondary structure, the THI element, which is widely distributed in eubacteria and also occurs in some archaea.
Source: RNAcentral